Small nucleolar RNA from Ochotona princeps (American pika), 118 nucleotides. The record is from Ensembl. NCBI's taxonomy places the organism in Eukaryota, Metazoa, Chordata, Mammalia, Lagomorpha, Ochotonidae.
CAGCAUGUUUCCAAGGACUGUGGCUGCUUUUAGCCAUGCAAUCUUCAAUUGUAUGCAAGAGCAACCUGGACAGACUCUGACAGCGCAGGCCAGCAGCUGUUGCUCAGCUUUGACAGUG